Molecule: long non-coding RNA, 3094 nt
Organism: Cygnus olor (mute swan)
Lineage: Eukaryota; Metazoa; Chordata; Aves; Anseriformes; Anatidae
Exons: 4
Source: RefSeq, a predicted model, not a curated record
UGAUGGAUCUGGUCUGGAUCUCACUGCCAGCUGUUGGUGCUUGUGGCAAAGAGAGGAUGAGCCCUCUGUAGGUGAGGGAAACUGAGGCAUGGAGAGAAGGGGCUCGCUCUCCUCUGGCUGCCCUGUGUCCGCUGGAGAGACACGCGUGUCCUCUGCGCUGGUGGCUGGGGACAGUGGGACACCUUGGAUGGACAGACAGGGCUGCAGCGGGGCAUCUCCUGGUGUUGGUGCCAAGCACAGACCCCUCCUGUCUGCAGCACCCUCCUGGCGAGGACCAGCACGGUUCCCCCAGCACGGCAGCUCCCUGCCAGGCUUGCUUCUGGAACAGCCGCAGAUCUCGUGCAGCUCUUUAAUCAAACGUUUCAGUGCCUCAAGAGCUGGAAAGGAUUUGGGGAAUGCGGCUGGGUUGUUUGCAAACUUCUCCGGGCUCCAGGCGUGCUCCCAGCUCUCCUUUCUCCAAGACCAAAGGGAACCCGAGCCGGGAGCCCUGCAGAUGUGAGCUUCACCCCAAUACAGGGCUGGGACCAGGCACACGAGCCAGAGCCAGUGGCCACAUUCAGGAUAUUUAGGCUGGGUCCUGGCUGGAGCAAGGAUCUGCAGCAAAGCCCAGGGCACGUGGAAGUGGGAGCCGCCUCCCUGCUGAGCUCUGUGGGAUGCAGCAGCCCGUGGUUAGGGCUGGGCCCUCUGUAGCUGACCUCGGGUGGUGUUUCAGCGUCCGAAAGAACUUCAGCGGCUUCGAGGGUGAUGCCUCCCUUGGAAACAGCAACCUGAAAUUACAGCAAGGCCACAAACGCAUCUGCUAGGGAGUACAGGGCGGGCUGGCAGCGGGAUAUCCAGCUCCCAGCUAGGGAAGGGAUGCGAGGAAGAGCCAGGAGCUAUUUCAGCUCCCCAUGCCACCCCCUUCCUUGCGCCGCUCCAGCUUGAGUGCUAACGAAUGCUUCACAGGGAGCGGUACCAGCGAUGCUCAGCGCACGCAGCACAGGAGCAGCUCCUCACCCUGUCCUGCGCAGGGAAAUCCCUUCGAUGAAAUCCCUUCAAUGCUAACGGGGCUGGAGGGGGAAGGAAGAGGGGUGGGCAUGAGCGCAUCCUGCUAGGAGCGAUGAGCCGCUUCGCUGAGCCCUGGCAGGCUGCGCCACGUCCUUCUGGUGCUUUUCGCUGGUUGCUGUCGGAUUUGAUAAUUGCAGCAGUCUGGCUUGCUUCCUCCCUGCUGGAAAAGGGCUGCCGUGCUCUGUGCCUCCGUGCACCUGGAGCAAGGCUGGUUCUUGUAGGGCUGGUGCUGGUCGGGAAGAUUGGUGGAUGGUUGGUUAAGGAGAAGCUGGAAGAGGAGGAUAAAUCUCACUGGAGUUGGGCAAAGAUGCUUAGCCCUCGGGAUGCAGCUGGAAGAAGGAGCAGGGUGUAUAAAGGACAAAGAAUAGGGUUUGACGAGCGUCCUGUCGUGCUCCCCUUGUCCCCUUUCCUCCUGCUGGCACAAAGCAAGAGGCAGGGCUGGCAGCCUGACACGGGGAGAGCAGCCUCUGGUAGCCACCGGGGUAUUUUCCGGCGGCAGGGAGGCUCCGAGCAGUGAUGCUGAGGCCGCUCCGUGUUGUCAUCUGUGACGCAGAUGUGUCACCGUCCCCUGGGGUCCCCGUGCGGCAGCAGCCGGUGCCAGCUCCUGCCGGCGUGGCCGUCUCCGACUCCACAAACACAGGAACCUGGGGCCGGAGCAUCUGCGCCUGCAGCGGGGAGCUGGCCGCAGACCCCGCCACGGAUGUCCUGAGAAGUGCUGCGGGCACGGACUGGGGACAGAAAUCCCUGCCUGGCCUGGAAAGGGCCCACGGGGGACCCUUGGGUUUAGGGGAGGUGGGGGUGGCCACACUGGCUCUGCCUCCCCCUUCCAUACCCCUCUGUCAGCACAGAGUUCAACACCAAAAGCCCCAUAAUUCGGUCCUGAUGCAGAUCCUGCCUCGCCCUGGGUUUUGCUCGGGCUGCUGCAGCCCCAGGAUAGGCACCAAGGGAGGACCUGGUGGGGCAGAAAGAGCUGAGAAAUCUGUGGGAAGAAACAAGGGGCUGGGGUUAAGACCCCAGAGCGGGGAUCAAGGGAUGGAGCAUCUGCUCCCAGCAGGGUUUGUGCCUCAGCAAGCUUCUUCUGUCUUUUGUAGCCCUCCCUGAGCCCGCUGAGCUGAAACCCCACCAAUUCUCUGUCCUCUGCCUGUCUGGUGCCCAGGGCUUCUCUGGAGCCCUCACUCCUGCCUUUCCCCCGCAGUCUCCCUGCGAAAACGCUUCCCUCAGAGCUCUGGAAUAAAAAAAAAAAAAAAAAAAAGAAGAAACAGCCCCCUUGUUCUGCUGCGAUGAACUGGCUCUUUUUCCAGUCACAAGGGCGAGCUGAAGCAAAACUUUCCAUGCUGAGCAGGAACAGAAAGAGAGAGGGAGAAGUAAUGAACCCUCCUUUAAAAGAAAAAAAAAAAAAAAGCAACAAAAGCCAGCAAAGCUGGGCGCUUCCUUUCCCCCAUCUCCCUCUUUUUUGGAACAAGGCAGCGAGCUUGCAAAGCGCGUUUUAAGCAGGAGCAGAUGCAGGCGUUGCUGGCCCCGGAGGGACGCCGGGACAGAAAACUGCUUUGUGCAAAUAUCACCGUGCUCGGUCAUUGUGCCGGGCGGCAGUGCGAGGGGCAAGGCCAGCAGCCCACCUCUUGGGUGCUCAGCACCUUGAAAUUUGGGUCUUUUGGGGUUCUUAGUGCUCGGCUGGUGCGUGAGACUUCCCUGGCUUGGUUGCUUUGGGGUCAGAGAGCCAGAAAUGUGGUCUGAGAGGUGACAGCCCCCGGGAAGCCGCAGGGUGCCAGGAGCUGGGGUUUUGGUGAAAUGUUGGCAGUGAGAUGGGCACCAGGUGCUUCCCUCCGGUUGUGCCGCCAGGAAAUCAGCCUAGAGCCAAAAAUAGAGCUCGGGUUGGAUGCUUUGCAGAGGGAGGCAGGGAUGUUCAGGGCUGGAUUUUUGGAGAGGUCUGGAUGCGCAUCGGGAGCGACAGCCCCUGUCCCACCACGCUUCCAUUCUUUGCCCCAUCAAAGCAAUGAAGGGCUUGCUCCAGGGCAGCUGUAAAUAGCCCUUGGCUUUCUGACCCCCA